AGUCGAGCGAAGCUUUUCAGUAGUUUACUACAGAAAAUGACUGAGCGGCGAACGGGUGAGUAACGCGUGAGCAAUCUACCUUAGUUACAGGGAUAGCCCGAGGAAACUCGGAUUAAUACCUGAUAUUCUCUAAAUUUCGCAUGAAAUUAAAAGGAAAGGUCAGCCGAACUAAGAUGAGCUCGCGUUCUAUCAGCUAGUUGGUGAGGUAAAAGCUUACCAAGGCAACGACGGAUAGCUGGUCUGAGAGGACGAUCAGCCACACUGGGACUGAGACACGGCCCAGACUCCUACGGGAGGCUGCAGCAGGGAAUAUUGCGCAAUGAGCGAAAGCUUGACGCAGCGACACCGCGUGUGGGAUGACGGAUCUAGGUUUGUAAACCACUUUCAGGAGGGAAGAAAAUGACGGUACCUCCACAAGAAGCCCCGGCCAACUACGUGCCAGCAGCCGCGGUAAUACGUAGGGGGCGAGCGUUGUCCGGAUUUAUUGGGCGUAAAGAGCUCGUAGGCGGUUCAACAAGUCGGUCGUAAAAGUUCAGGGCUCAACCCUGAAAUGUCGAUCGAUACUGUUGUGACUAGGAUACGGUAGAGGUGAGUGGAAUUCCGAGUGUAGCGGUGAAAUGCGUAGAUAUUCGGAGGAACACCAAUUGCGAAGGCAGCUCACUGGGCCGCUAUCGACGCUGAGGAGCGAAAGCUAGGGGAGCAAACAGGAUUAGAUACCCUGGUAGUCCUAGCUGUAAACGAUGGAUACUAGACGUAGGAACUGGAUUGACGGUUUCUGUGUCGUAGCUAACGCGUUAAGUAUCCCGCCUGGGGAGUA
Molecule: ribosomal RNA, 817 nt
Filed under: uncultured marine bacterium
Lineage: Bacteria
Description: bacterial SSU rRNA
Rfam family: Bacterial small subunit ribosomal RNA
Source: RNAcentral